GAUGAACGCUGGCGGCGUGCCUAAUACAUGCAAGUCGAGCGAACAGACGAGGAGCUUGCUCCGUUGACGUUAGCGGCGGACGGGAGAGUAACACGUGGAUAACCUACCUAUAAGACUGGGAUAACUUCGGGAAACCGGAGCUAAUACCGGAGAAUAUAUUGAACCGCAUGGUUCAAUAGUGAAAGACGGUUUUGCUGUCACUUAUAGAUGGAUCCGCGCCGCAUUAGCUAGUUGGUAAGGUAACGGCUUACCAAGGCAACGAUGCGUAGCCGAGCUGAGAGGGUGAUCGGCCGCAUGGGAAGUGGGACACGGACCAGAGUCCUACGGGAGGCAGCAGUAGGGAAUCUUACGCAAUGGGCGAAAGCCUGACGGAGCAACGCCGCGUGAGUGAUGAAGGUCUUCGGAUCGUAAAACUCUGUUAUUAGGGAAGAACAACUGUGUAAGUAAAUGUGCACGUAUUGACGGUACCUAAUCAGGAAGCCACGGCUAACUACGUG
This 497-nucleotide ribosomal RNA is filed under the name uncultured bacterium. RNAcentral describes it as "partial 16S ribosomal RNA". It matches the Rfam family "Bacterial small subunit ribosomal RNA", at positions 28 to 507 of the family's 1533-position model. The record is from RNAcentral.